CCUACGGGAGGCAGCAGUGGGGAAUUUUGGACAAUGGGCGCAAGCCUGAUCCAGCCAUGCCGCGUGAGUGAAGAAGGCCUUCGGGUUGUAAAGUUCUUUCGUCCGGGAAGAAAUCGCACAGGUUAAUUCCCUGUGUGGAUGACGGUACCGGAAUAAGAAGCCCCGGCU
This 168-nucleotide ribosomal RNA is filed under the name uncultured bacterium. RNAcentral's name for it is "partial 16S ribosomal RNA". It matches the Rfam family "Bacterial small subunit ribosomal RNA", at positions 338 to 498 of the family's 1533-position model. The record is from RNAcentral.